UAGGCCGUUGUCCUCAAAGGCGUUGAUCUGAUGCAGCGUGAACAUGGCAGCUGCACGGUACUUCACUUCACUCUCCUGUUUACAGACACUCUGAAGAGGAGAGCCUUUGGACUCUGGGACGGGUGCCAAGUUCAAGAGGUGAUCGCUCGACAUUAAAAAAAAAAAGGAAAAGGUACAUCAGUCACGUUAUCAAACAGCUGCUCAUAAAAAUGUCUCAAGACUCUUCCUACUGUUUCUCUUGUAUGGAUAAAAAUGUCAAGUUCCACCUGACUCUUUAUUGCUUCAAAAUGUUGCAGAAGGUCUUGCUGGUUGGUAGGAAGCUUUUAUUUCCGCAUUUUACUGGAACAAGUGAUCCUGCGAAUAAUUGGUGUCGACUUAA
Long non-coding RNA from Hippocampus comes (tiger tail seahorse), 379 nucleotides. RefSeq lists it as uncharacterized. The record is from RefSeq and is a predicted model, not a curated record. The transcript has 2 exons. Lineage: Eukaryota; Metazoa; Chordata; Actinopteri; Syngnathiformes; Syngnathidae.